Molecule: small nuclear RNA, 104 nt
Filed under: Panthera tigris altaica (Amur tiger)
Lineage: Eukaryota; Metazoa; Chordata; Mammalia; Carnivora; Felidae
Source: RNAcentral
GUACUCACUUUAGCAUAUAUACUAAAAUUGGAACUAUAUAGAAAAGAUUAACACAGUCCCUGCACAAGAAUUACAUACAAACUCUUGGAAUGUUUCAUUUUUUU